Molecule: ribosomal RNA, 462 nt
Filed under: Ciampa arietaria
Lineage: Eukaryota; Metazoa; Arthropoda; Insecta; Lepidoptera; Geometridae
Description: eukaryotic LSU rRNA
Source: RNAcentral
UUCAAGAGUACGUGAAACCGUCCAGGGGUAAACCUGCGAAACUCGAAUGAACGAACGGAGAGAUUCAUCGUCAUUCCGCGGCGCAGUUGCGCGUGCGCGAUGUCCCCGGCCUCGGUCGGCGGGCACGCGUCGCGUUCUUCGCGUCCGCGGACGGCGUGCACUUCUCUCUUAGUAAUACAUCGCGACCCGUUCGAUGUCGGCCUAAGUGUCUCUCGGGAGUCUUCGCUCCUCGCGGAGUGGAGACCGUGGAGUUCACCGGCCGGCCGUCGGACGGUAGAUCUGACGAAACGCUCACGCGCUCGCGCGCGUCCGGCCCGACGCAAGGCACCUAGGCGCCGUAUCCCGCGUUCUGCCCGAGUGCGGACGUGGGUGCGGCGCGCCUGUCGUCGCAGCCGUGCCGUCUCGGACUGUGUGCGUAUCUGUCUGCGAUGAUUCAGUUUCGGGCACUCGCAGGACCCGUCU